UGCUGCGACUUCACUAGUGAUUAGAGUUUGAUCCUGGCUCAGGAUGAACGCUAGCUACAGGCUUAACACAUGCAAGUCGCGGGGCAGCAUGGGGGUUGCUUGCAACUCCCGAUGGCGACCGGCGCACGGGUGAGUAACGCGUAUCCAACCUGCCCUUCACCACGGGAUAACCCGGCGAAAGUCGGACUAAUACCGUAUGUUGUCCAUUGACGGCAUCCGAUUUGGACGAAAGGUUUGGCGGUGAGGGAUGGGGAUGCGUCCGAUUAGCCAGACGGCGGGGUAACGGCCCACCGUGGCUACGAUCGGUAGGGGUUCUGAGAGGAAGGUCCCCCACGCUGGAACUGAGACACUGUCCAGACCGGACGAAGAAAC
This 372-nucleotide ribosomal RNA is filed under the name Hoylesella loescheii. Its description in RNAcentral is "bacterial SSU rRNA". It matches the Rfam family "Bacterial small subunit ribosomal RNA", at positions 1 to 350 of the family's 1533-position model. Lineage: Bacteria; Pseudomonadati; Bacteroidota; Bacteroidia; Bacteroidales; Prevotellaceae. The record is from RNAcentral.